RNAcentral lists this ribosomal RNA (253 nucleotides) under uncultured bacterium. RNAcentral describes it as "partial 16S ribosomal RNA". It matches the Rfam family "Bacterial small subunit ribosomal RNA", at positions 524 to 776 of the family's 1533-position model. The record is from RNAcentral.
AUCGUAGGAUGCGAGCGUUAUCCGGAGUUACUGGGCGUAAAGCGUGCGCAGGCGGUUCUGUAAGUGGCUUGUGAAAGCGCCCGGCUAAACCGGGCGAGGACAGGUCAGACUGCAGGGCUGGGAUGGAACAGAGGGCUGUGGAAUUCCGGGUGUAGCGGUGAAAUGUGCAGAGAUCCGGAGGAACACCAGAGGUGAAGACGGCGGCCUGGGUUCCAAUCGACGCUGAGGCACGAAAGCGUGGGGAGCGAACGGG